CGCGAAUGGCUCAUUACAACAGCUAUAGUUUACUUGAUCUUGACAAUCCUACUUGGAUAACUGUGGUAAUUCUAGAGCUAAUACAUGCACCAAAGCUCUGACCUUGCGGGAAGAGUGCAUUUAUUAGAACAAAACCAGGCGGCUUCGGUCGUUUUUUGUUGACUCAGAAUAACUAAGCUGAUCGCAUGGUCUUGUACCGGCGACGUGUCUUUCAAGUAUCUGCCUUAUCAACUUUCGAUGGUAGUGUAUCUGACUACCAUGGUUGUAACGGGUAACGGAGGAUAAGGGUUCGACUCCGGAGAAGGGGCCUGAGAAAUGGCCACUACGUCUAAGGAUGGCAGCAGGCGCGCAAAUUACCCACUCUCAGCACGAGGAGGUAGUGACGAAAAAUAACGAGACCGUUCUCUUAUGAGGCCGGUCAUCGGAAUGGGUACAAUUUAAACCCUUUAACGAGUAUCUAUGAGAGGGCAAGUCUGGUGCCAGCAGCCGCGGUAAUUCCAGCU
Molecule: ribosomal RNA, 503 nt
Filed under: Coslenchus polonicus
Lineage: Eukaryota; Metazoa; Nematoda; Chromadorea; Rhabditida; Tylenchidae
Description: SSU rRNA
Rfam family: Eukaryotic small subunit ribosomal RNA
Source: RNAcentral